Molecule: ribosomal RNA, 408 nt
Filed under: uncultured bacterium
Lineage: Bacteria
Description: partial 16S ribosomal RNA
Rfam family: Bacterial small subunit ribosomal RNA
Source: RNAcentral
GACGAACGCUGGCGGCGUGCUUAACACAUGCAAGUCGAACGAAGUGGCGAACGGGUGAGUAACGUGUAUUCAACCUGCCCUUCUGUGGGGGACAACAGUUGGAAACGACUGCUAAUACCGAAUACUGAUGGUGGGGUUUGUGUUGGAUUAGCUAGUUGGGGGGGGAACGGCCCACCCAGGCGAUGAUCAGUAGCCGGGCUGAGGAGGUGGACGGCCACAUUGGGACUUGGGCACGGCCCAGGCACCUACGGGGGGCAGCAGGGGGGGAAUUUCCGCAAUGGACGAAAGUCUGGCGGAACAACGCCGCGUGAGUGGUGACGGCCUUCGGGUUGUAAAGCUCUGUUAAUCGGGACGCGGUACCGGAAGAGAAAGCCACGGCUAACUACGUGCCAGCAGCCGCGGUAAUUC